Molecule: non-coding RNA, 84 nt
Organism: Caerostris extrusa
Lineage: Eukaryota; Metazoa; Arthropoda; Arachnida; Araneae; Araneidae
Source: the annotation of a GenBank genome assembly
AUACCAUGCUGAAUAUACUGGUUCUCGUUAGAUCACCGAAGUCAAGCAUCAUUGGGAGCGGUCAGUACUUGGGUGGGUGACACC